UGCCACAGCCAUAUCACCCUGCAGCCCAAGAUCGGUUACUCACUGAAGCUAAGCAGGGCUGAGCCUGGUCAGUACCUGGAUGGGAGACCACUAGGGAACACUAGGUUGCUGUUGGAA
This 117-nucleotide ribosomal RNA is filed under the name Danio rerio (zebrafish). Lineage: Eukaryota; Metazoa; Chordata; Actinopteri; Cypriniformes; Danionidae. The record is from RNAcentral.